Molecule: non-coding RNA, 437 nt
Organism: Cinara cedri
Lineage: Eukaryota; Metazoa; Arthropoda; Insecta; Hemiptera; Aphididae
Source: the annotation of a GenBank genome assembly
UUCCCAGGUCUAUAAUCACGAGUAACGCAUAUCUCGUAUUGUGUACAUUGUACCGGUUCGUUUGAUAUCUUCAUUUUUCAGAGGGAUUUUCACGAUCGACACGAACCGACGACGGGAGAUCUCGAGGGGUAUACACUGUACACACAUAUUCAUUUCAGAUAACGUUAAAAACAACGAUACGCGAAAAAUCCACUCGAAUUGUUAGAGUCUUAUCUACACACAGCACAACAACAAUAAUACGUAUAUAUCAAAAUUCAGAUCCGGAUUAGAGUUAGUAUGUGCAAUGUGUGUACAAACAAUAUAUAGGGUAACAAUAACGUACGUUCCAAAACUCACAUGGCUGUAGACAUAUUUGGCACGUUGAGAAUAAAACAAUUAACAGGACAUGAUGUAAACGAACUCACGCAAAUAUAACGGUGCACAAAAUAAUUUAUAUU